This 842-nucleotide ribosomal RNA is filed under the name uncultured bacterium. Its description in RNAcentral is "bacterial SSU rRNA". It matches the Rfam family "Bacterial small subunit ribosomal RNA", at positions 66 to 894 of the family's 1533-position model. The record is from RNAcentral.
GCGGGAAAGUGGCUUCGGCCAUGAGUAGAGCGGCGCACGGGUGAGUAACACGUGGGUAAUCUGCCUUACUGAUUGGGAUAACCUGCCGAAAGGCGGGCUAAUACCGGAUACGUUCCCCGGGUUUGCGGACUUGGGGAAGAAAAGCAGCUCGCAAGGGUUGCGCAGUGAGAUGAGCCCGCGGCCCAUCAGGUAGUUGGUAAGGUAAUGGCUUACCAAGCCUAAGACGGGUAGCUGGUCUGAGAGGAUGAUCAGCCACACUGGAACUGAGACACGGUCCAGACUCCUACGGGAGGCAGCAGUGGGGAAUUUUGGUCAAUGGGCGAAAGCCUGAACCAGCAACGCCGCGUGGGUGAUGAAGGCCUUCGGGUUGUAAAGCCCUGUCGGGAGGGACGAAACCUGCGCGUAACGAACGCAGCCGACGGUACCUCCAAAGGAAGCACCGGCUAACUCUGUGCCAGCAGCCGCGGUAAUACAGAGGGUGCAAGCGUUGUUCGGAAUUACUGGGCGUAAAGCGCGUGUAGGCGGUCUGCCAAGUCCUGUGUGAAAGCCCUGGGCUCAACCCAGGAAGUGCGCAGGAUACUGGUGGACUGGAGUGAUGGAGAGGAUGGCGGAAUUCCCGGUGUAGAGGUGAAAUUCGUAGAUAUCGGGAGGAACACCUGUGGCGAAGGCGGCCAUCUGGACAUCGACUGACGCUGAGACGCGAAAGCAUGGGGAGCAAACAGGAUUAGAUACCCUGGUAGUCCAUGCCUUAAACGAUGGAUGCUAGAUGUCGCGGGUAUUGACCCCUGCGGUGUCGACGCUAACGCAUUAAGCAUCCCGCCUGGGGAGUACGGCCGCAAGGU